This 475-nucleotide ribosomal RNA is filed under the name uncultured Caulobacter sp. RNAcentral describes it as "bacterial SSU rRNA". It matches the Rfam family "Bacterial small subunit ribosomal RNA", at positions 38 to 536 of the family's 1533-position model. The record is from RNAcentral. Lineage: Bacteria; Pseudomonadati; Pseudomonadota; Alphaproteobacteria; Caulobacterales; Caulobacteraceae.
AACGCUGGGCGGCUGCCUUAAGAUGCGAGUCGGACGGAUCCUUCGGGAUUAGUGGCGGACGGGUAUAACACGUGGGAACGUGCCCUUUGGUUCGGAACAACUCAGGGAAACUUGAGCUAAUACCGGAUGUGCCCUUCGGGGGAAAGAUUUAUCGCCAUUGGAGCGGCCCGCGUCUGAUUAGCUAGUUGGUGGGGUAAAGGCCCACCAAUGCGACGAUCAGUAGCUGGUCUGAGAGGAUGAUCAGCCACAUUGGGACUGAGACACGGUCCAAACUCCUACGGGAGGCAGCAGUGGGGAAUCUUGCGCAAUGGGCGGAAAGCUUGACGCAGCAUGCCGCGUAAUUGAUGACGGCUUAGGAUUGUACAAUCUUUCCACCGGGAAGAUUAUACACGUACCACGAAGAAACACCCACGGUUACUUAAGUGCCACAGCACCAGCGGGUAAUUACCAAAGGGGGGUAACAGUUUAGCCUGAA